AAAAGUCGUAACAAGGUUUCCGUAGGUGAACCUGCGGAAGGAUCAUUACCAAUUUAAUCCAAAAAUACUACAACCCUUGUGCAUUGUGAUAUUGUUUGUCUUUGGGGUGGCCGUUCUGUUUUACGCAAAAUGUUUGCUGCCCCACAUUUGUUCAAAACAUUCUCAUUUUUGUGGCAUCUUUUGUCUUAAAUAUAAAUGGACAACUUUUAACGGUGGAUCUCUUGGCUCGU
This 230-nucleotide unclassified non-coding RNA is filed under the name fungal sp. Its description in RNAcentral is "partial internal transcribed spacer region". The stretch from base 1 to 48 matches the Rfam family "Eukaryotic small subunit ribosomal RNA", at positions 1784 to 1831 of the family's 1831-position model. Lineage: Eukaryota; Fungi. The record is from RNAcentral.